Molecule: ribosomal RNA, 758 nt
Filed under: Salmonella enterica subsp. enterica
Lineage: Bacteria; Pseudomonadati; Pseudomonadota; Gammaproteobacteria; Enterobacterales; Enterobacteriaceae
Description: partial 23S ribosomal RNA
Rfam family: Bacterial large subunit ribosomal RNA
Source: RNAcentral
CAUCCUCCAAGGCUAAAUACUCCUGACUGACCGAUAGUGAACCAGUACCGUGAGGGAAAGGCGAAAAGAACCCCGGCGAGGGGAGUGAAAAAGAACCUGAAACCGUGUACGUACAAGCAGUGGGAGCACAGGUUUACCUGUGUGACUGCGUACCUUUUGUAUAAUGGGUCAGCGACUUAUAUUCUGUAGCAAGGUUAACCGUAUAGGGGAGCCGCAGGGAAACCGAGUCUUAACUGGGCGUUAAGUUGCAGGGUAUAGACCCGAAACCCGGUGAUCUAGCCAUGGGCAGGUUGAAGGUUGGGUAACACUAACUGGAGGACCGAACCGACUAAUGUUGAAAAAUUAGCGGAUGACCUGUGGCUGGGGGUGAAAGGCCAAUCAAACCGGGAGAUAGCUGGUUCUCCCCGAAAGCUAUUUAGGUAGCGCCUCGUGAAUUCAUCUCCGGGGGUAGAGCACUGUUUCGGCUAGGGGGCCAUCCCGGCUUACCAACCCGAUGCAAACUGCGAAUACCGGAGAAUGUUAUCACGGGAGACACACGGCGGGUGCUAACGUCCGUCGUGAAGAGGGAAACAACCCAGACCGCCAGCUAAGGUCCCAAAGUCAUGGUUAAGUGGGAAACGAUGUGGGAAGGCCCAGACAGCCAGGAUGUUGGCUUAGAAGCAGCCAUCAUUUAAAGAAAGCGUAAUAGCUCACUGGUCGAGUCGGCCUGCGCGGAAGAUGUAACGGGGCUAAACCAUGCACCGAAGCUGCGGCAGCGA